AAUCAAGUUGUUUUGCUAACAAACUAAAAUACAUACAUCCUGGUAUUUAUGGUUACAGAUCAACGCUGAGACCAAGGUUUGCUCUGAGCACUUUGGGAAGCAGUGCUUUGUGAAGACCGCCUGUGGAAUCACAAAGCUUAUAAAGCAUGCUGUGCCAACCUUGUUCGCCUGGACUUCAGAGAGGCCAAAGAGGAGAAUCAUCAUUCGUAGACCGAGUAUGGAUUCCAUGGAGGUGGAUGAAAACCAGCCUGAUGAGAGAAGGGAUGCCUUGAGCAGAGGUACCUCCUCCACACCCGUACCAUGAUUAUGCUGUUCCACCACCAGAGGCCAGAGACACCAGAGGAACAACUUGAGGCGGCUCGCAAGCACAUCAUUGAGCAAGACAAGUUAAUAGCACAACUUAAAGAUAAAGUGUUCAGUGUGUCGGGAUUCCAGUGUGAUGAUGGUCAGAAUGUUAUUUUACACAGGAUUCCCAGACUAUGCCACCAUGCUGUAUAUAUGGCUCUACAGCCCACAGCCACAGGCAUGGUUGGAUGGAGUCAGGCUCAAAGGCUUACACAAACAGAGGUACAGGUCAUCAGAAAGGCAUUUAAUAUCCCUAAACUAGCAAUUAUGGACCAGUUCUUUCUCUUCCUCUGUCGUCUCAGACAGGGUUUUGCUGAGCAGUGCACUUUGGUGUGUCACAGUCAACUGUGAGCAGAAUCUGUGUCACCUGGGCUAACUAUCUAUACUUCAUGUUAGGAGUAGAUGAAUGUAUGCCUACUUGUUUUCAAAACACUUACCCAGACACCAGAGUCAUUCUAGACUGUACAGAAAUAUAUGUGCAAACGCCUAGUUCGAAGGUACUUAACUCCGAAAUCUAUUCCCAUUACAAGGACAACCCAACUUUCAAAGGCCUGAUUGGAAUUGCCCCGUCUGGUGAGGUGUCAUUCGUUAGUGACCUGUACACAGGCUCCAUAUCCGAGAAGGAGAUUACAGAAUUGUCCGGCAUCCUAGCAAUGCUUGAAGAAGGCGAU
This is a long non-coding RNA of Engraulis encrasicolus (European anchovy), 1016 nucleotides long. RefSeq lists it as uncharacterized. The record is from RefSeq and is a predicted model, not a curated record. Lineage: Eukaryota; Metazoa; Chordata; Actinopteri; Clupeiformes; Engraulidae. The transcript is spliced from 3 exons.